This 497-nucleotide ribosomal RNA is filed under the name uncultured bacterium. RNAcentral's name for it is "partial 16S ribosomal RNA". It matches the Rfam family "Bacterial small subunit ribosomal RNA", at positions 28 to 507 of the family's 1533-position model. The record is from RNAcentral.
GAUGAACGCUGGCGGCGUGCCUAAUACAUGCAAGUCGAGCGAACGGACGAGAAGCUUGCUUCUCUGAUGUUAGCGGCGGACGGGUGAGUAACACGUGGAUAACCUACCUAUAAGACUGGGAUAACUUCGGGAAACCGGAGCUAAUACCGGAUAAUAUUUUGAACCGCAUGGUUCAAAAGUGAAAGACGGUCUUGCUGUCACUUAUAGAUGGAUCCGCGCUGCAUUAGCUAGUUGGUAAGGUAACGGCUGACCAAGGCAACGAUGCAUAGCCGACCUGAGAGGGUGAUCGGCCAAACUGGAACUGAGACACGGUCCAGACUCCUACGGGAGGCAGCAGUAGGGAAUCUUCCGCAAUGGGCGAAAGCCUGACGGAGCAACGCCGCGUGAGUGAUGAAGGUCUUCGGAUCGUAAAACUCUGUUAUUAGGGAAGAACAUAUGUGUAAGUAACUGUGCACAUCUUGACGGUACCUAAUCAGAAAGCCACGGCUAACUACGUG